CCUACGGGUGGCAGCAGUGGGGAAUAUUGCACAAUGGGGGAAACCCUGAUGCAGCGACGCCGCGUGAGUGAAGCAGUAUCUCGGUAUGUAAAGCUCUAUCAGCAGGGAAGAAAAUGACGGUACCUGACUAAGAAGCCCCGGCUAACUACGUGCCAGCAGCCGCGGUAAUACGUAGGGGGCAAGCGUUAUCCGGAUUUACUGGGUGUAAAGGGAGCGUAGACGGUUAAUCAAGUCAGAAGUGAAAACCCCGGGCUCAACCUUGGGACUGCUUUUGAAACUGAGGAGCUGGAGUGCAGGAGAGGUAGGCGGAAUUCCUAGUGUAGCGGUGAAAUGCGUAGAUAUUAGGAGGAACACCAGUGGCGAAGGCGGCUUACUGGACUGUAACUGACGUUGAGGCUCGAAAGCGUGGGGAGCAAACAGGAUUAGAUACCCCAGUAGUC
This 440-nucleotide ribosomal RNA is filed under the name uncultured bacterium. Its description in RNAcentral is "partial 16S ribosomal RNA". It matches the Rfam family "Bacterial small subunit ribosomal RNA", at positions 338 to 795 of the family's 1533-position model. The record is from RNAcentral.